CUGUGUUUUUGUCUCACCUUUAAAACUAUUAAGUUUUAAAGGUUCUUCUAUCCUGAAAAUCGUUGUGGAAAGGUGAGACAUUAUAUAAGGAAAAAAAAAAAAAAAAAAAAAAAUUUUAAAAUUUUUUUUCNNNNNNNNNNNNUGUGUUUUUGGCUUAUAUUAAUUCUGGCUGGAGUUUCAUCUUAGAAUAACUGAUCCCUGCAAUCCACCACACAUUUUUUCUUUUUAUGGUUUGUUGCUGAAGAUAUCUUACCUGUUUAUGAAUUUUGUGUGAGAGCAAUUUCUUUGACACAAUUAGAUACAUAAAUAGCCUAUGGGAUUAAUUGUGGCUGGCCACAUAAUAUAUAGCUUACUCUUUUUCUGGUUUCCGUGGGUUCUUUCAUAUUAUAGUGGAUAUGCUGUGUAUGCAUUAUAUAAAUGUAAAAAGAAAAAAAGCUUUCUCUGUUUUCCAUUCAAGUGAUGCUGGAAUAAGCUUUCCUUGCAGGUUAUUGGAAUUGAUCUACU
This 504-nucleotide unclassified non-coding RNA is filed under the name Hevea brasiliensis (rubber tree). The record is from RNAcentral. Lineage: Eukaryota; Viridiplantae; Streptophyta; Magnoliopsida; Malpighiales; Euphorbiaceae.